RNAcentral lists this non-coding RNA (25 nucleotides) under Arabidopsis thaliana (thale cress). The record is from RNAcentral. Lineage: Eukaryota; Viridiplantae; Streptophyta; Magnoliopsida; Brassicales; Brassicaceae. RNAcentral also lists the same sequence under 1 other name.
AGCCAAGCGUUCAUAGCGACGUUGC